Molecule: unclassified non-coding RNA, 245 nt
Filed under: plant metagenome
Description: partial contains small subunit ribosomal RNA, internal transcribed spacer 1, and 5.8S ribosomal RNA
Source: RNAcentral
UCUCCGUUGGUGAACCAGCGGAGGGAUCAUUACCGAGUUUACAACUCCCAAACCCAAUGUGAACCAUACCAAACUGUUGCCUCGGCGGGGUCACGCCCCGGGUGCGUCGCAGCCCCGGAACCAGGCGCCCGCCGGAGGGACCAACCAAACUCUUUCUGUAGUCCCCUCGCGGACGUUAUUUUUUACAGCUCUGAGCAAAAAUUCAAAAUGAAUCAAAACUUUCAACAACGGAUCUCUUGGUUCUG